ACAGGUAUGGUGAUAUGGUUCCAAAGACUAUAGCAGGGAAGAUAUUUGGCUCCAUUUGUUCCCUGAGUGGUGUGUUGGUCAUUGCCUUGCCAGUCCCAGUGAUUGUCUCCAAC
This is a non-coding RNA of Xenopus laevis (African clawed frog), 113 nucleotides long. The record is from Rfam. NCBI's taxonomy places the organism in Eukaryota, Metazoa, Chordata, Amphibia, Anura, Pipidae.